CUGCCUUUCUCACCACCUCCUCUGAGGUCUGCUUCUCUUCCUCCCGGACCUGCUUUUCUUUCUCUAGGGCCUCUUGGAGGGUAACUACUUCGGCGGCCUUUUCUUUGAGACGAGCGACUUCGGCCCGGUGAUGCUCCUCCGCCUGGAUGACGUCCCUCCUCGCCCAGUUCGUCGCCUCGACGUUGGCAAGGAGCUGGUGCCCAAUCUACAAGGGCGGCUAGGGGGUCAGAACAAGGGUCGAAAAGCUAAUUAAAUGAAGAUUUGUUUACCUUGAGAAAGGACCCCAGGGAGUCCCAAACCCACUGCUCAGGAUCGGCGCGGUCAAUC
RNAcentral lists this long non-coding RNA (327 nucleotides) under Elaeis guineensis (African oil palm). RNAcentral's name for it is "long non-coding RNA (EGUI_LNC053866)". The record is from RNAcentral. Lineage: Eukaryota; Viridiplantae; Streptophyta; Magnoliopsida; Arecales; Arecaceae.